AUCCGCUUAUUGAUAAGUACUUUAGGUAUUCCUCCAGUGGCCAAAGUCGCUUACAAAUUAUGAAGUUGAACCAUUUGGAAUGAAUAUAAGAGAAUUGCCCUGGGCUCCUCCUACUCCAGAGAGGAAAUCUCACCCAGAGCCAUCAUGCCACUUCCCCAUCAUCUGUGGUCUGCUUGGUUAAGCUAAUGCUGCAGGAGUCCUGGUCCACUGGGAGGAAUCAAGCUGACUCUUGGCAUGAGGCCUUCCCAGGGUUGAAAGGAGCACCACCAUGGCCUCUCUGGAUGAUCCAGGGGAAGUGAGGGAGGGCUUCCUCUGCCCUCUAUGCCUGAAGGACCUGCAGUCUUUCUAUCAACUUCAGUCACAUUAUGAGGAAGAGCACUUGGGGGAAGACCGUGAUGUCAAAGGGCAAAUUAAAAGUCUUGUCCAGAAGGCUAAGAAAGCAAAGAACAAGUUAUUGAAACGAGAAGGGGAUGAUCGAGCAGAAUCAGGGACCCAAGGAUAUGAGUCUUUCAGCUAUGGAGGGGUUGAUCCUUACAUGUGGGAACCUCAGGAGCUUGGUGCUGUGAGAAGCCAUCUUUCUGAUUUCAAAAAACACCGAGCCGCCAGAAUUGACCACUAUGUUGUUGAAGUCAAUAAAUUAAUAAUCAGGUUAGAGAAGCUCACUGCGUUUGACAGAACAAAUACUGAGUCUGCAAAGAUUCGAGCAAUAGAAAAGUCCGUGGUGCCUUGGGUCAAUGACCAGGAUGUCCCUUUCUGUCCAGACUGUGGGAGUAAGUUCAGCAUCCGAAACCGCCGCCACCACUGCCGUCUCUGCGGGUCUAUCAUGUGCAAGAAGUGUAUGGAGCUCAUUAGCCUUCCCUUUGCAAGCAAGCUCACCAGUGCCAGCAAGGACUCCCUGAGUGCCCACACCAGCCCCAGCCAGUCACCCAAUAGCGUCCAUGGCUCCCGCCGCGGCAGCAUCAGCAGCAUGAGCAGUGUGAGCUCUGUCCUGGACGAGAAGGAUGAUGACCGGAUCCGCUGCUGUACACACUGCAAGGACACGCUGCUCAAGAGAGAGCAGCAGAUUGACGAGAAGGAGCAUACACCCGACAUUGUGAAGCUCUAUGAGAAAUUACGACUUUGCAUGGAGAAAGUUGACCAGAAAGCCCCAGAAUACAUCAAGAUGGCAGCAUCAUUAAAUGCUGGGGAGACAACGUAUAGUCUGGAACAUGCCAAUGACCUCCGAGUGGAAGUACAGAAAGUAUAUGAGCUAAUAGACACUUUAAGUAAGAAGAUCUUAACCUUAGGCUUGAACCAGGACCCUCCACCACAUCCAAACACUUUGCGGCUACAGAGGAUGAUCAGAUACUCAGCUACAUUUUUUGUGCAGGAAAAGUUGCUUGGUUUGAUGUCACUGCCAACCAAAGAACAGUUUGAGGAACUGAAAAAGAACAGGAAGGAGGAAAUGGAGAGGAAGAAGGCCGUGGAGAGACAAGCUGCCCUGGAGUCCCACCGAAGGCUUGAGGAAAGACAGAGUGGCCUGGCCUGUCGAGCAGCCAAUGGGGAGGUGGUAUCUCUCCACAGGGGCCAUGCCCCUUUGAGAAAGGCUGAGGGCUGGCUCCCCCUGUCAGGAGGUCAAGGACAGAGUGAAGACUCGGAUCCCCUCCUCCAGCAGAUCCACAACAUCACAUCGUUUAUCAGGCAGGCCAAGGCCGCGGGUCGCACAGAUGAAGUGCACACGUUGCAGGAGAACCUGCGGCAGCUACAGGAUGUGUAUGACCAGCAGCAGACAGAGAAAGCCAUUGAGCUGUCCCGGAAGCAGGCCGAGGAAGAAGACCUGCAACGGGAACAGCUGCAGAUGCUCUGUGAACGCGAGUGGGAACGGGAGAGGGGGCAGUUCCGGGCGGCAUCUCUGCACACACGGACUCGGUCCCUGGACUUCCGAGAAAUCAGGCCUUUUCAGCUACAGGCUAGCAGAGAGCCUCGCACUCACCUUGCUUAUGCUUUGGAUCUGGGCUUUUCUCCAGUUCAAAGUAGCACAGCUCCUAAGACCCCUUCACCAUGCUCAGCUCAAGAACCUGUUCAAGUACGGUCUGGGCCCCCAGUCCUUGGCCAGGAAUUCUUACUCCAGAGCAGCAUGUCCCAGCAAGAUGAGGUGCCCUCCCUAAACCCCUUUGAUGAGGAAGACUUCUCCAGCCCCACAGAAGAGGCCACUACUAACCCUCCUGCCACAGAGGUCUCCUCUGGCCCUUCAGCCUGCAUCCCCAAAGUGUACAAUCCUUUUGAGGAAGAGGAGGAGGCAGGGGCAGUAGCAGAGAAGCCCUUCACUCACCCAGACCGUCCAGUGCCCAACCCCUUUGAUGAGGAAGAUGAACAUCCCCACCCGAGGUCCUCAAGCCCUCUGGUUCCUGGCAACCCCUUUGAGGAGCCCACCUGUACCAACCCCUUCGAGGUGGACAGUGACAGUGGGCCAGAAGCUGAGGAGCUCAUAGAGGAGGAGCUCCUCCUUCAGCAGAUUGAUAACAUCAAGGCGUACAUCUUCGAUGCCAAACAAAGUGGCCGGCUGGAUGAGGUGGAGGUGCUGACAGAGAACCUGCGGGAGCUCAAGCGCACUCUGGCCAAACAGAAGCGGGGCACUGACUGACCAGCAGUAGGGGCCAGUAGAGCCGGAGAGUGGCAGGGUGAGAAUUCAGAUGCACACAGGUUAGGGGCAGGAGGAUGCAGUUUUGUGCUGUGCACUUUGAGGUAUUUCCACUACAGAUAAAAAAUAAAAUGGGAACUAGCACAGGAAUAAUCAGCACCCAUUUGCUGUUUAUCCUGUUGUUUUUUUUUUUUUUUUUCUGUAAGGGUUUUUCCCCUUUGUGAAGGGACUUUACAUUUUUUACUACCGAGAUAUAACUAAAUGUAGCUCUGUUGGGCCCUGGGCAGUAAGGGCUGCCAUGCAUCUCUUGGGUCCAUUUGCUACUGCCUAGUCUUGGUCCUUAAUGCAGUAUUAUAGGACAGCUGCCUUCCUUUAGCCAAGACAAAGAUGGAUCCCCUGGAACCAUAUUUGGCUCUGGCAGAAGUCCAUCCCCCCAGGCUAUGGGUUCCAUUUCACUAGGGGCCUCCUCUGCCCUGCUCGGAAGGGAAGAGUUUAGUAGACCCAGGAGAGCCCAGUACCUCUUCUUAAGAGAGAUAAUGAGUGGAUGCCUCACCAAGGUCUGUGUCUCUCUGUUUAAGUUCUAGUUUGUCUCUUCCUACAGUCCUUCAAGGUAAUUAAGCUCCAGGACAGGGGUAUCCAUGUGAUCUGAUCAUGUGCUUUUUAGAAAAUAGGAGUGGUGGGCGGCGCCUGUGGCUCAAGGAGUAGGGCGCCGGUCCCAUAUGCCAGAGGUGGAGGGUUCAAACCCAGCCCCGGCCAAAAACCAAAAAAAAAAAAAAAAGAAAAUAGGAGUGGUUAACUUUUUGGUUGAUGUUAGUAUUAUUUGGGAGAAGAGUUUCUCCAAGCUUGCUCUGAUGAUACAAUUAUCUGUCUCCAGAGAAACCUUCUAGAGCUUUGGCAAAAUUACUCUUAUCUGGGCCUUUUAAAAAAUGUAGGAAUUGGUGAUCAGGAAGCUUUUGUGGAACAUCUUUCCAGGAGAAGAGAAGCUUAUCUGAGUCAGAGGAGAAAUUAAAAUAACUUCCAAAUCUAUUUGAUCAGCUGCCUUCCCUUUUGAUUCAUCCUGACCUGACCUGGGCAGUGAUGAGAUAUUUUAUUACCAACGUUUAGUAUUCAGAAACUAGAAUGUUUGAAGAAGCACAGCCCAGUAUCACUCUAGUAGCACCACAGUACUUGAACUCUUUACCAAUUAAGGACAGAAAGGGAAAUUGUUAGGUUAGCUCUGGUGCUUUGGUUUACAGGAACAUAACCCUUAACUGACACCUGACAUCAUGAUAUAUCCAUGCGUGCUCAGCUCUGGGUAGAGUUUCUGCAAUUGUGCACCCUAACGAAUGAACAAUAACUGAUCACUAGUCACUUUAUACUCCUUAACUAACUCUGGGCCAUACUUUAACUGGUGUGAGAGCUGAAAUUCAUUUUGUUACAUUCUGGGGAACACCCCUCUUGAUAGUGGGAAUAUUUGAACUCUCUUGGGGUAAAAAUAAUCUGUAUCUGUGCUAAAGAAAUGUGAAUAGCAUUUCAUUUUCAUUCGGCCAGAAGAUGCAGCAGCAUUUCUUUAGCACCUGCUGCAUCUUUGGCCGAAUGAAAAUGUCCUAGAUAGGACUGUGGGAAUGGGGGUUAAGGGUAUGUGGAAGAACCUUUGCAUUUAGGUUCCAUUUACAAAUAAGGGCAUGUCAGCCAGUUACUAACUCUGCUGGCUGUCAUGGGUUAUUUUGAAAAUUGGCAACUAGGCAUCUAAGAUGUUUACUGGCACAGGCCUUUUUUCUCCCCCAAGAUCCAUGACCUUGCUGUUAACCUGGAGGGCUUCAUGGAUGGAUGGCAGGGUCCUGCUGCUCAGUCUGUUAUUUCUCUGGCUGAAGAGGAGGCGUUCUGUGCCAAAAAGCAGUCCUUCAAGGCAAAUGGCUUCAUUCUUUGGCAAAUGAACGAGGUCUUGAUGUGGCGUACAGAUUUCCCUGGACACAGAUCAUGAUCACAAAUGGGAGAGACUGUGGGAUUCAGGCAUUUCAUUUCCUUUUUACGCCUUGUUUGUAUUUUCUCCUGUCUUAAUACACUAAGGAUACUUACUCAUUGUACUUGUAGCUCAAUGUGUCUUUGCUUUUCAGAGGCUAAAAUGUACCUCAGAAUCAUCAUGAACUUUGGGGUGGGUGGACAUUGGCAUAAUUGGUGAUGGGACUCAAAAUGAGAAGCUGGUCUCUACCAGGUCACAGACUGGAAUAUCAGUUUGAGCGUCGUUGGUUUGCAUGUACUACUUUGGAGCCUUGUAUUGAAACCUUUUUUUAAAAAUAAAA
RNA transcript from Nycticebus coucang (slow loris), 4902 nucleotides. It is a transcript of the gene named rabenosyn, RAB effector, with no coding region annotated. NCBI's taxonomy places the organism in Eukaryota, Metazoa, Chordata, Mammalia, Primates, Lorisidae. The record is from RefSeq and is a predicted model, not a curated record. The transcript is spliced from 13 exons.